RNAcentral lists this ribosomal RNA (501 nucleotides) under uncultured Chitinophagaceae bacterium. Its description in RNAcentral is "partial 16S ribosomal RNA". The record is from RNAcentral. Lineage: Bacteria; Pseudomonadati; Bacteroidota; Chitinophagia; Chitinophagales; Chitinophagaceae.
CACGGAGUUAGCCGGUGCUUAUUCCCAGGGUACCGUCAAGCUCCUAAGAAUAGAAGUGUUUCGUCCCCUGUAAAAGAAGUUUACAACCCAGAGGGCCUUCAUCCUCCACGCGGCAUGGCUGGUUCAGACUUGCGUCCAUUGACCAAUAUUCCUUACUGCUGCCUCCCGUAGGAGUCGGGCCCGUGUCUCAGUGCCCGUGUGACUGGUCGUGCUCUCACACCAGUUACUGAUCGCAGGCUUGGUGGGCCGUUACCCCGCCAACUACCUAAUCAGCCGCACGCCCAUCCCUGUCCUCCAGAGAUUUAAUAGCUGUGUGAUGCCACACCACUAUCUUAUGGGGAGUUAAUCCACCUUUCGGUGGGCUAUGCCCCAGACAAGGGUAAGUUGCGUACGUGUUCCGCACCCGUUUGCCGGUCGCCAGCAACUGUAUUGCUACAGUCCUGCUGCCCCUCGACUUGCAUGUAUUAAGCCUGCCGCUAGCGUUCAUCCUGAGCCAGGAUA